The sequence is a ribosomal RNA, 1000 nucleotides long. It matches the Rfam family "Bacterial small subunit ribosomal RNA", at positions 40 to 1084 of the family's 1533-position model.
UGGAGUGCGGCAGCUACCAUGCAGUCGAACGAUGGAACCUCACUUCGGGAGGGGAUUAGUGGCGAAGGGUGCAGUAAUAUUGUGGGCAUCUGCCCUGCACUCUGGGACAAGCCCUGGAUACGGGGUCUAAUACCGGAUACUGACCCGCUUGGGCAUCCGAGCGGGUCGAACGCUCCGGCGGUGCAAGAUGAGCCCGCGGCCUAUCAUCUUGUUGGUGAGGUAAUGGCUCACCAGGGCCACCACGGGUAGCCGGCCUGAGAGGGCGACCGGCCACACUGGGACUGAGACACGGCCCACACUCCUACGGGAGGCAGCAGUGGGGAAUAUUGCACAGUGGGCGAAAGCCUGAUGCAGCGACCCCGCGUGAGGGAUGACGGCCUUCGGGUUGUAAACCUCUUUCAGCAGGGAAGAAGCGAAUGUGACGGUACCUGCAGAAGAAGCGCCGGCUAACUACGUGCCAGCAGCCGCGGUAAUACGUAGGGCGCGAGCGUUGUCCGGAAUUAUUGGGCGUAAAGAGCUCGUACGCGGCUUGUCACGUCGGUUGUGAAAGCCCGGGGCUUAACCCCGGGUCUGCACUCGAUACGGGCAGGCUAGAGUUCGGUAGGGGAUAUCGGAAUUCCUGGUGUAGCGGUGAAGUGCGCAUAUAUCAAGAGGAACACCGGUGGCAAACGCAGAUCUCUGGGCCGAUACUGACUCUAAAGAGCGAAGCGUGGGGAGCGAACAAGAUUAGAUCCCUGGUACUCCACGCCAUAACGGUGGCACUAUGUGUGCGCGAUUUCCACGUCGUCCGUGCCGCAUCUACGCAUUUGUGCCCCCCUGGGAAUACGCCGCAGGCUAAACUCAAGGAUUGACGGGGCCCGCAAAGCGGCAGACAUGUGGCUUAUUCGACGCACGCGAAAAUCUUACAAGGCUUGACAUACACCGGACAGUCCAGAGAUGGCGCCCCUUGUGUCGUGUCAGGUGUGCAGGCUGUCUCACUCGUGCGUGAAUGUGGGUUACU